GUUUUUCUCUCAACUCACAACUUGCCUUAUUCACACAUCGCCUGUCCUAACUGACUCCUGCAUCCACAGUUCUUUGGGCUUUUGUCCAUGGGUUCUCCCUCUCCAUCAAACAUUGAAGAUACUUUGGAAUCUGAGAUGGAUAUGGCCAAUGCUGUGGCUUUGGUGUAUUUGCUGCCUGAAGAAGCCAAUGAAUUUCUUCUGAGAUGCUCCUGAUGCAAGAGGAACAACGGUGUGCCAAGAUAUCAAAAGGAACGUUCUUUGAGUGGGUAAGUUUUCCAUUUAAUUAUUCAUUGAUUAUAAACACUGG
Stegostoma tigrinum is the source of this 307-nucleotide long non-coding RNA. RefSeq lists it as uncharacterized. Lineage: Eukaryota; Metazoa; Chordata; Chondrichthyes; Orectolobiformes; Stegostomatidae. The transcript has 3 exons. The record is from RefSeq and is a predicted model, not a curated record.